CACCGCGGUUAUACGAGGGACCCAAGUUGACAGAAACCGGCGUAAAGAGUGGUUAAUAUAAUAUAAACUAAAGCAAUACACCCUCAAAGCUGUUAUAAGCUCCCGAGGGCAGGAGUAGCUUUCACGAAAGUGGCUUUAAUCAAUAUGAAUCCACGAGAACUAGGGAA
This 167-nucleotide ribosomal RNA is filed under the name Gobius niger (black goby). RNAcentral describes it as "partial 12S rRNA". The record is from RNAcentral. Lineage: Eukaryota; Metazoa; Chordata; Actinopteri; Gobiiformes; Gobiidae.